This 851-nucleotide long non-coding RNA is filed under the name Bos grunniens (domestic yak). RNAcentral's name for it is "lncRNA (ENSBGRG00000018121.1)". Lineage: Eukaryota; Metazoa; Chordata; Mammalia; Artiodactyla; Bovidae. The record is from RNAcentral.
CAGAUUGAAGCUGGGAGACUUAGAGGUGACAUGAGUCCUCAAGAGACCCACCAGCUGGCUAGGUGGGGCCAGCUAGAGGCAGCCUUGGGAUUUGGGUUUACUGCUGGAAGUAAAAGAUACAAUUACGGUCAACUCUUGUGCUAGUCGGGCACCAAGUAUAGACAAGGAAUUUCAAACUUUAAUUUUACCCUGAAACAUCAGCAAUCCCUUUCCUAAAUUUCCCUAGAGAUUUUAGGGUGAUUUCUAACCCCUAGUAAGAUGGAUGGGAGCUUCCCAUGUGGUGCUAGUAGUAAGAACCAGCCUGCCAAUGCAGGAGAUGUAAGAGAUAUGAGUUCAAUGGCCCUGCAGUCCCGAGACUGAACGCGAGCAGACCAGGGGCGAAGGAACAGAAGGCAUUUCCUUCUAGCAAUGGCUUCUGGAAAACGCAGAGUGGAACUCAAGCCACAGUCCUGUGUGUGGGGAAGGUGUGGGAAAACCAGACCUGCCUCUGCCAGGCUUGGGACUGCAGAUGGGACCUUGGAACCAGAGCUAAGGGGAGAGACAGCCUGAGACCCAUGACCUCCUGCACACAGGAAGAGGUGGCUCCUGACUGGUAUCACAUCUAAGAAAGUGAAAGUGAAAGUCACUCAGUCGUGUCGAACUCUUUGUGGCCUCAUGGAAUUCUCCAAGCCAGAAUACUGAAGUGGGUAGCUGUUCCCUUCUCCAGAGGAUCUUCCCAACCCAGGGAUUGAACCCAGGUCUCCCACAUUGCAGGCGGAUUCUUCACUGCUGAGCCACCAGGGAAGUCCCAUAUCUAAGAAACUGUAUCCUAAUUCAAGGUUAAGUGAGUCCCCAUCCAGGGGCUUUUUCCU